CCCCCGGGCGUCGAUGAAUGUGGGGUACCAUUCCUUGAUGAUGUGGUCAUGUUUGUAGUCGGCCUUAUUGUCCUUUAGAUGUUCCACGGUGUUCCGCUCGCUCUUCUCAUAGGCCUCCCGGGGCUUCCGGACAGACACCUUGCAUUCUCGGACCUUGUUGACGAUGAAUUCUUGGAUGAGAAACCUGAUAUCUUCCAUGAGUCAUCAUAAAGAAGUCUGAAUAUCUUGGUUGAGAGCUAGACUUUGGAAACAGAGAGACCCUGUAUAAUAACAGACUAAGAAGUAAGGAAGACAAGCCCAGCCAGUCCCACAACUAUUUCAUUAAUACCAGGUAAAGCAACAGACCUGCCAGUGAAGCAUCUUGGAUCCUUUAGCUUUAGAAAAUCAGCUCUGUUACAUCUGCCGCCUCCUGUGAGCACAAGGCACAGAAAGUAGACCCUGUAACCCUCAGAGGGCCUGAAGGAAAGCGAUGCUGGUGUGACCUGCCCAAGAGGAUGGUGCCCAAGGCAGAGCAUUCUAGACCCUCAUAGGCAACAGAGCCAGGAAUGGAAGUGAGGAUACAGAGAAUGCACAAACGGGAACCAUGUGAGGACAGUGAGAAGGUGGCCAUCUACAAGACGAGAUGAGAGGCCUCAGAAGAAAGAAACCAAAUCUACAGACACCUUGAUCUUCAACUUCUGGCAUCCAAAACUGCUGGGAAUUCUAGAUCAAGGUAUGAAGACAGCCAGUUCCUAGAUUCAGAGCCAUGAGGAAGAAUCCAUUCUGUGACUUUUCCCUAGCUUCUGAUGUUUGUCUGGCAAUCUUUGGCAUUCUUUGGCUCGUAGACCUCUGUUUUCAUCUUCUCAAGAAAAUUUCCCUGUAUGUUUGUCUAGGUCUAAUUUUUCCUUUUUAUAGAACACCAGUAAGAUUGGACUGGAGCUCACGCUAAUGACCUCACUUUAACUUCAUUAUCUCUAUAAAGACCCUAUCUCCAAAUAAAGAUACAUUCU
This is a long non-coding RNA of Homo sapiens (human), 989 nucleotides long. The record is from Ensembl. NCBI's taxonomy places the organism in Eukaryota, Metazoa, Chordata, Mammalia, Primates, Hominidae.